RNAcentral lists this ribosomal RNA (433 nucleotides) under uncultured bacterium. Its description in RNAcentral is "bacterial SSU rRNA". It matches the Rfam family "Bacterial small subunit ribosomal RNA", at positions 958 to 1392 of the family's 1533-position model. The record is from RNAcentral.
AACGCGAAGAACCUUACCAGCCUUUGACCUCCUGUGCUGCAUGGAGAGAUCCAUGGUUCCCUUCGGGGACGCAGAGACAGGUGCUGCAUGGCUGUCGUCAGCUCGUGUCGUGAGAUGUUGGGUUAAGUCCCGCAACGAGCGCAACCCUCGCCCCUAGUUGCCAGCAUUCAGUUGGGCACUCUAGGGGGACUGCCGGUGAUAAGCCGCGAGGAAGGUGGGGAUGACGUCAAGUCCUCAUGGCCCUUACGGGCUGGGCUACACACGUGCUACAAUGGCGGUGACAAUGGGCAGCGAGCCUGCGAAGGUGAGCUAAUCCCAAAAAGCCGUCUCAGUUCGGAUUGCACUCUGCAACUCGAGUGCAUGAAGUCGGAAUCGCUAGUAAUCGCGCAACAGCAUGGCGCGGUGAAUACAUUCCCGGGUCUUGUACACACCG